ACGAAGGUCCCAAGCGUUGUUCGGAAUCACUGGGCGUAAAGGGUGCGUAGGCGGCGCGGAAAGUCAGAUGUGAAAGCCCGGGGCUCAACCCCGGAACUGCAUCCGAUACUCCCGCGCUUGAGGGCCGGAGAGGAGUCUGGAAUUCACGGUGUAGCAGUGAAAUGCGUAGAUAUCGUGAGGAACACUAAUUGCGAAGGCAAGACUCUGGACGGUUCCUGACGCUGAGGCACGAAGGCCGGGGGAGCGAACAG
Molecule: ribosomal RNA, 251 nt
Filed under: uncultured prokaryote
Description: partial 16S rRNA
Rfam family: Bacterial small subunit ribosomal RNA
Source: RNAcentral